RNAcentral lists this long non-coding RNA (462 nucleotides) under Elaeis guineensis (African oil palm). Its description in RNAcentral is "long non-coding RNA (EGUI_LNC070397)". The record is from RNAcentral. Lineage: Eukaryota; Viridiplantae; Streptophyta; Magnoliopsida; Arecales; Arecaceae.
CCAGCCACCAUCAUUUCCAUAAUAGCAAGACGCAAUCAAGGUUAUUUUGUUCUUCCUAAUUCACCAUGAUCUCCAGCCACCAUCAUUUCCAUAGUAGCAAGAUGUAGCCAAAGUUAUUUUGUUCUUCCUAAUUCAUCAUGAUCUCCAGCCACCAUCAUUUUCAUAGUAGCAAGAUGUAGCCAAAGUUAUUUUGUUCUUCCUAAUUCACCAUGAUCUCCAGCCACCAUCAUUUUCAUAGUAGCAAGAUACGGCCACUAUCAUUUCUUUUGUAGCAAGAUAUAGCCACCAUCAUUUUUAUGAUAGUCAAAUUCUGUUAUUUCCUUCCAUUUACUGAAUUUGUCUUAUGUUUCCUCUCUUAUCUAUAUAAAGGGAGGCGACCUAUGUAUUCAAUUCAGAUUUCAAUGAAUGAAAAUGAGUGUUGCUGAUUUCUCUUAUCUAACCCCUGUGUGUUAGUGGCGAGUU